RNAcentral lists this long non-coding RNA (528 nucleotides) under Mus musculus (house mouse). Its description in RNAcentral is "cone-rod homeobox, opposite strand". The record is from RNAcentral. Lineage: Eukaryota; Metazoa; Chordata; Mammalia; Rodentia; Muridae.
UCCUGUACCCUGGGUCCCCUUGACCAGAAGUUCAGUUGGGAGCAGCUUUCAGAGCUGGAAGCAUACUUCAAGGUGGAACCAUACCCAGACCUCCAGGAUCGAAAGAUCAUGGCCACCAGACUGAAACUGAAAGAGGAACAAGUUGAGGCUUAAAGGAUAGCAAAACUGUAUUAAUUUCAAAGACGGAGUUGACCGAUGAGCAGUUCCAGAAGCUAAGAAAGCACUUCGAGACAGACCGUUGCCCUAAUGAGGAAACUCUGCAGGCCUUCGCUGAGGAACUCAAACUACGGAAAGACCUCAUCAGAUCCUGGUUCAUCACUCAGCGUCACAGAAUGAGGGGGUACAGACGGUUAUUUAUGCGCUACUACAGGGAUUGGAAAACGUCCCGUGAGUACUCUACAACAAGAAGUUUCGACAGGCAGAAGAACUCCAAGGAGUGCUCUCAGAAUGACCCUGGACUCCCCGAAGCAUUGGAAGCCUUGAAGAGGCUCAAGCUCUCUUCUGGGUACCAAAGCAGAGAUGGCAUGU